GACGAACGCUGGCGGCGUGCUUAACACAUGCAAGUCGAACGGAAAGGCCCUGCUUUUGUGGGGUGCUCGAGUGGCGAACGGGUGAGUAACACGUGAGUAACCUGCCCUUGACUUUGGGAUAACUUCAGGAAACUGGGGCUAAUACCGGAUAGGAGCUCCUGCUGCAUGGUGGGGGUUGGAAAGUUUCGGCGGUUGGGGAUGGACUCGCGGCUUAUCAGCUUGUUGGUGGGGUAGUGGCUUACCAAGGCUUUGACGGGUAGCCGGCCUGGGAGGGUGACCGGCCACAUUGGGACUGAGAUACGGCCCAGACUGCUACGGGAGGCAGCAGGGGGGAAUAUUGCACAAUGGGCGGAAGCCUGAUGCAGCAACGCCGCGUGCGGGAUGACGGCCUUCGGGUUGUAAACCGCUUUCGCCUGUGACGAAGCGUGAGUGACGGUAAUGGGUAAAGAAGCACCGGCUAACUACGUG
Molecule: ribosomal RNA, 468 nt
Filed under: uncultured bacterium
Lineage: Bacteria
Description: partial 16S ribosomal RNA
Rfam family: Bacterial small subunit ribosomal RNA
Source: RNAcentral